UUAGCGAUCCAUCAUGUCCUCACUAUUGGGGGCUGGUGGUGACAGAAAAGUUACCCUAGGGAUAACAGGCUCGUCGCGGGCGAGAGCUCCCAUCGACCCCGCGGUUUGGUACCUCGAUGUCGGCUCUACCCAUCCUGGUUCUGCAGCAGGAGCCAAGGGUGGGGCUGCUCGCCCAUUAAAGGGGAACGUGAGCUGGGUUUAGACCGUCGUGAGACAGGUCGGUCUCUGCCUGACAGGGGUGUAGUUGUUUGAGGGGAAGUUGCCCAUAGUACGAGAGGAACAGGGCAACGCAGCCUCUGGUUUAUCAGUUGUCCGACAGGGCAGGCUGAGCCGCUAAGCUGUUUAGGAUAACUCCUGAAAGCAUCUAGGGAGGAAACCUUUCCCGAGAAAAGACAGCCUUCUUUACAGAGAAGGGCAGCUAUAGAAGAUAGCAUUGAUAGAAUGGAGGUGUAAGCAUCGAGCUUUUUGCGAGAUGUUCAGCCUGCCGUUACUAAUAGCCCAACGCACCUGAUUA
Molecule: ribosomal RNA, 514 nt
Filed under: Thermoproteota archaeon
Lineage: Archaea; Thermoproteati; Thermoproteota
Description: partial 23S ribosomal RNA
Rfam family: Archaeal large subunit ribosomal RNA
Source: RNAcentral